This 253-nucleotide ribosomal RNA is filed under the name uncultured bacterium. RNAcentral describes it as "partial 16S ribosomal RNA". It matches the Rfam family "Bacterial small subunit ribosomal RNA", at positions 524 to 776 of the family's 1533-position model. The record is from RNAcentral.
UACAGAGGGUGCGAGCGUUAAUCGGAAUUACUGGGCGUAAAGGGCGCGUAGGCGGGAUGGCAAGUCGGACGUGAAAUCCCUCGGCUCAACCGAGGAACGUCGAUCGAUACUGCUGUUCUUGAGGAUUGCAGAGGAGACUGGAAUUCCCGGUGUAGCGGUGAAAUGUGUAGAGAUCGGGAGGAACACCGGUGGCGAAGGCGGGUCUCUGGGCAAUUCCUGACGCUGAGGCGCGAAAGCGUGGGGAGCAAACGGG